Molecule: ribosomal RNA, 429 nt
Filed under: bacterium
Lineage: Bacteria
Description: partial 16S ribosomal RNA
Rfam family: Bacterial small subunit ribosomal RNA
Source: RNAcentral
UAGGGAAUCUUCGGCAAUGGGGGCAACCCUGACCGAGCAACGCCGCGUGCGUGAAGAAGGUUUUCGGAUCGUAAAGCUCUGUUGUAAGAGAAGAACGUGUGUGAGAGUGGAAAGUUCACACAGUGACGGUAACUUACCAGAAAGGGACGGCUAACUACGUGCCAGCAGCCGCGGUAAUACGUAGGUCCCGAGCGUUGUCCGGAUUUAUUGGGCGUAAAGCGAGCGCAGGCGGUUUAAUAAGUCUGAAGUUAAAGGCAGUGGCUUAACCAUUGUUCGCUUUGGAAACUGUUAAAAUUGAGUGCAGAAGGGGAGAGUGGAAUUCCAUGUGUAGCGGUGAAAUGCGUAGAUAUAUGGAGGAACACCGGUGGCGAAAGCGGCUCUCUGGUCUGUAACUGACGCUGAGGCUCGAAAGCGUGGGGAGCAAACAGG